Molecule: ribosomal RNA, 180 nt
Filed under: uncultured bacterium
Lineage: Bacteria
Description: partial 16S ribosomal RNA
Rfam family: Bacterial small subunit ribosomal RNA
Source: RNAcentral
UGAAGCUGGAAUUGCUAGUAAUGGCAGGUCAGCAUACUGCCGUGAAUACGUUCCCGGGCCUUGUACACACCGCCCGUCACACCAUGAGAGUUGGGGAUACCCGAAGCCUGUGAGCCAACUAUAUAGAGGCAGCAGUCGAAGGUAGAAUCAAUGAUUGGGGUGAAGUCGUAACAAGGUAUC